CAGCCGCCGCGGGAAUACGGAGGGAGCUAGCGUUGUUCGGAAUCACUGGGCGUAAAGCGCACGUAGGCGGCUAUUCAAGUCAGGGGUGAAAGCCCGGGGCUCAACCCCGGAACUGCCUUUGAAACUAGAUAGCUUGAAUCUUGGAGAGGCGAGUGGAAUUCCGAGUGUAGAGGUGAAAUUCGUAGAUAUUCGGAAGAACACCAGUGGCGAAGGCGACUCGCUGGACAAGUAUUGACGCUGAGGUGCGAAAGCGUGGGGAGCAAACAGGAUUAGAUACCCGUGUAGUCCCUGUCUCUUAUAC
RNAcentral lists this ribosomal RNA (301 nucleotides) under uncultured bacterium. RNAcentral describes it as "partial 16S ribosomal RNA". It matches the Rfam family "Bacterial small subunit ribosomal RNA", at positions 509 to 807 of the family's 1533-position model. The record is from RNAcentral.